RNAcentral lists this long non-coding RNA (1986 nucleotides) under Homo sapiens (human). RNAcentral describes it as "novel transcript". The record is from RNAcentral. Lineage: Eukaryota; Metazoa; Chordata; Mammalia; Primates; Hominidae.
ACACAGAAAGCCCUGAGGACUGAAACCCUGCAUGGGUACAUUUUGAUGGGGCAGGAAGAAAAGUUCUGGAGUGUGGAGAGCAGAGGUCCAGAGCAUUCACUGAUUUAGCCACAGAAGAAACAGAUGCGGAAACCGGGGCACAGCAGGCGAAGUGAAACUUCCCAUGUUCCAGCAAAGCCCAGUCCAUAACGUGAGGCUUUGUGAGGUUUGUGUGUGCGACCUUCACCCCUUCACCUGGACCCUCUCUUUGUCCUCCUUUCGCACCCAGUGAUGUGUGGCCUGGAUCACUUCCCUGCCCUCAAGUCUUGCCCUGGCCUGACGUUCAGCGGACCCUCCGUGCAUUAAGGAUGGAGGAUGGUUCCUUGUGCUUCCUCUACCAGGUGCACUUGUAUCUGCUCGGAAUUCUGGAAGAGCAAAGACCCACUGGCCCCACUAAUCCAUCUAUUGAUCCUGCCCCGGUCAGCAGGCUGGGUCUAGCCUCCACACUGCCGCUGCUCAGGGUCUGUGGAGGAAGUCGCUGCAGCCAUUCAGCCAGAUGAAUCGCAAUUAAUAAAUGUGGAACGAAUGAGAGACGAAGACGAUGAGCACCAGAGGACUGCAGGGAGCACGGCUGAGGCAACAUCACCAGAGGAUAGUAAAAUUAGCAGACAGAGAUCUAAGCACAAACAGUGUCUCUGUGUAGCCUUAAAGCAUCUCUUUGAAUAUUUAAUGGUUACAAAGGAAAAACAGUGAGUUGAUGGGGGAGAACCCUGGCAGGCACCACCCUAACCAAGAGAUCAAAGUUGGCAUGACCAGGCACAAGGCACACUAACAGCCCACACCCACUGAUCUGGCCCACCGAAAAUGCACAUCACUUCUGUGGCAUUGCCACGGAAUUUCCAAAAAGGCAUUACCUCAGUCCAAUGCAGAGAAGGCGUCAGGCAGACCUAGGCGGAGAGACUGUCCAAGAGCGACAGACCCAUCCUCUUAAAAAGCCGGCCCUGACACAGAAAGGAGACAGAGAAAGGUGACAGCCAAAUGCACGUGGGAGCUGGGAACAGAGGAGGGCACUGGGAGGGGCCUGCCUGCCGUCCAGCUCUCGAGACCACGGCGAGAUUCAGAAGGGAAUUGGGCCAUUCCUUCUCCAAAGCAGAACGUACUGCAGCUGUGAGAGUUCUAGGAGAAAAUUCAGAUGAACUUUCAAAUCAGCUUCUCAAGUGUCAACAUCCUGUUGCGAUUUUCAUUGAUAUUGAACUGAAUUUAUAGAUUUUGUAAGCAGAAAAAAAUUAUUUUAAUUUUUUGAGAAAAAAAGUUUUAAAUGGUUUGUUUUCAGACUGUGUCAAGAUAUCCCUACCUCCGAAGUUGUCAGGUUUGCGGACCUUGGGGUGAAGCGUGGGGCUGCUGGAGGCGUCCAGCCCUGACUGUGUGUCCAGGACAAUGAGCCCCGAAGUGAGCGGGCCGCGUCCUGUUGGCGCAGCCAACUUCACGCCCUCUGUCCAGGGAGGACUAAGGGACAAGCUGCAGCAGGCGCAGAGGACGCUGUUGGUGUCCGGGAGGCCGCUGGUACAGGGCGUUGGGCGUGGCUCCUUUCCAAGUGCCUUGCACUUUCCAGGCUGGGCUGCAGAAGCAGGCUCGGGGGCGACUCGCGUGGGGACUGAAGCAGCCAGCCUUGGCACCUGCCCACAGCAAAUAACUGCCUUGACUUGAUCUGGUUUUUUUGAAGAAAGGUUUAUUCAUACCCAUUAUGUGCGCAUGUGUAAAUUCAAACCCACGGCUUGCCGGAGCCUGGGCUUUCUCGAACAUCAGUUGCUCCCAUGCUACCAUUUUGCAGUUUGCCCGUCUCCAGUAGAUGAUUUCUGAAUAUUUUAAUCAACUCAUUAUUAACCAUUCACACGUCUACCUUAGCCUCAUUUUAAGCAAUUGCACCUGUGGGUUUCACAGGCCUGCUGUAUUUUUAGUACAUAUUAAAUAAAGCAUGUCUGUUGGGGCGUGCUGUGCUUGCCCACC